This 236-nucleotide long non-coding RNA is filed under the name Carica papaya (papaya). RNAcentral describes it as "long non-coding RNA (CPAP_LNC013637)". The record is from RNAcentral. Lineage: Eukaryota; Viridiplantae; Streptophyta; Magnoliopsida; Brassicales; Caricaceae.
GAAUUUGUUAAAAAUUGUGCUCCAUUGGUCGUUUUUGUUUUUCUACCAACCUUUACUUCUGUGUUAGUGAUAUAGUGUGACGUCUUUACUGGGCUAGUGUAGCUCAUUCCUUACUUAACCAUUUCAGAUUAGGAGGACUUGGUUCCCGAGCCCAUUCCGCAGGAAGACGGCGAGUAGAUGCCUAAAUAUUUUAUAGUUUUCCUUAUAGUAUUUCAUUUCUAGUAUUUCCUUUAGUU